RNAcentral lists this long non-coding RNA (238 nucleotides) under Lathyrus oleraceus (garden pea). RNAcentral describes it as "Pisum sativum (pea) long non-coding RNA (PSAT_LNC030208)". Lineage: Eukaryota; Viridiplantae; Streptophyta; Magnoliopsida; Fabales; Fabaceae. The record is from RNAcentral.
UUUUGUUCUGUUUUGUCCUAACCUGUCUUGUGUUUCCAUGGCAUUGUUUUCUCUUGUUUUCAUCCUGUUACUCUAACCUUUUGUCGAGUUUUUGUGAGGGCUCACAUACUCUUGCAGGGAUGCCAUCUGGAGGUUUAUCCCGAUUACCCGUACUGACUGACUUUUUUGAUGAUCUAGCUGGAGGGGUUUCAGAGUUGCUUAUCCCUUUAAUUGCUGUAGCUUCGGAUCUUCAUCCGUG